UACGUAGGUGGCAAGCGUUGUCCGGAUUUACUGGGCGUAAAGAGCGCGCAGGCGGUUGUGCAAGUCGCGUGUGAAAGCCCCCGGCUCAACUGGGGAGGGUCACGCGAUACUGUUCGACUCGAAGGCAGGAGAGGGAAGUGGAAUUCCCGGUGUAGUGGUGAAAUGCGUAGAUAUCGGGAGGAACACCAGUGGCGAAGGCGACUUCCUGGCCUGUUCUUGACGCUGAGGCGCGAAAGCUAGGGGAGCAAACGGG
This 253-nucleotide ribosomal RNA is filed under the name uncultured bacterium. Its description in RNAcentral is "partial 16S ribosomal RNA". It matches the Rfam family "Bacterial small subunit ribosomal RNA", at positions 524 to 776 of the family's 1533-position model. The record is from RNAcentral.